CGCCUUCUGACCCCAUAGAAGGUCCAGCCUGCCCAGUGACAUCAGUUAAACGGCCGCGGUACCCUAACCGUGCGAAGGUAGCGCAAUCACUUGUUCUCUAAAUAAGGACUAGUAUGAAUGGCAUCACGAGAAUUUUACUGUCUCCCUCUUCCAAUCAGUGAAACUGAUCUUCCCGUGAAGAAGCGGGAAUUAACCCACAAGACGAGAAGACCCCAUGGAGCUUCAAACUCAGCACCAAUUGCCUAACCUAAGACCACAAUAUCAGGCAAAUCUGCACCGCUAGUUUUAGGUUGGGGUGACCGCGGAGAAAAACACAUCCUCCACAAUGAAAGGACCUAGUUUCCUUAUUAAAGAGCCACAACUCAAAAAAUCAAUAAAUUGACAUAAAUUGAUCCAAAAUAUUGAUCAACGAACCAAGUUACCCUGGGGAUAACAGCGCAAUCUACUUAAAGAGCCCCUAUCGAUAAGUGGGCUUACGACCUCGAUGUUGGAUCAGGGCAUCCCAGUGGUGCAGCCGCUACUAAAGGUUCGUUUGUUCAACGAUUAAAGCCCU
RNAcentral lists this ribosomal RNA (553 nucleotides) under Hoplophryne rogersi (Tanzania banana frog). RNAcentral describes it as "partial 16S ribosomal RNA". It matches the Rfam family "Bacterial large subunit ribosomal RNA", at positions 1817 to 2597 of the family's 2925-position model. Lineage: Eukaryota; Metazoa; Chordata; Amphibia; Anura; Microhylidae. The record is from RNAcentral.